UACGUAGGGUGCAAGCGUUAAUCGGAAUUACUGGGCGUAAAGUGUGCGCAGGCGGCCGCGCAAGUCGAGUGUGAAAGCCCCGGGCUUAACUUGGGAAUUGCGCUCGAAACUACGUGGCUGGAGUAUGGCAGAGGAAGGUGGAAUUCCACGUGUAGCGGUGAAAUGCGUAGAUAUCGGAAGGAACAUCAGUGGCGAAAGCGACUUCCUGGACCAGUACCGACGUUCAGGCACGAAAGCGUGGGGAGCAAACAGG
This 253-nucleotide ribosomal RNA is filed under the name uncultured bacterium. RNAcentral describes it as "partial 16S ribosomal RNA". It matches the Rfam family "Bacterial small subunit ribosomal RNA", at positions 524 to 776 of the family's 1533-position model. The record is from RNAcentral.